AAGUCGUAACAAGGUCUCCGUAGGUGAACCUGCGGAGGGAUCAUUACUGAGUGAGGGCCUUCGGGCUCGACCUCCAACCCUUUGUGAACACAACUUGUUGCUUCGGGGGCGACCCUGCCGUUUCGACGGCGAGCGCCCCCGGAGACCUUCAAACACUGCAUCUUUGCGUCGGAGUUUAAGUAAAUUAAACAAAACUUUCAACAACGGAUCUCUUGGUUCUG
This 221-nucleotide unclassified non-coding RNA is filed under the name fungal sp. Its description in RNAcentral is "partial internal transcribed spacer region". The stretch from base 1 to 46 matches the Rfam family "Eukaryotic small subunit ribosomal RNA", at positions 1786 to 1831 of the family's 1831-position model. Lineage: Eukaryota; Fungi. The record is from RNAcentral.